This 22-nucleotide unclassified non-coding RNA is filed under the name Chlamydomonas reinhardtii. Its description in RNAcentral is "small RNA Cre_1734". The record is from RNAcentral. Lineage: Eukaryota; Viridiplantae; Chlorophyta; Chlorophyceae; Chlamydomonadales; Chlamydomonadaceae.
GCGAGGCCAACGAAUCCCCUGG